AAACUGUGUUGCGGACACUUCCACAAGAGGUCCUUGAAUCUCUCCCAUGUCUCAAACAAUAAUUCGAUCUCCAUCUGUAUGAAUGAGGAUGUCUCAUUAUGAAGCCU
Small nucleolar RNA from Dioscorea cayenensis subsp. rotundata (Guinea yam), 107 nucleotides. The record is from RefSeq and is a predicted model, not a curated record. Lineage: Eukaryota; Viridiplantae; Streptophyta; Magnoliopsida; Dioscoreales; Dioscoreaceae.